UGCGAACGGGUGAGUAACGCGUAGGUAACCUGCCUUGUAGCGGGGGAUAACUAUUGGAAACGAUAGCUAAUACCGCAUAAUAACAGUUGUUGCAUGACAACUGUUUGAAAGGUGCAAUUGCAUCACUACCAGAUGGACCUGCGUUGUAUUAGCUAGUUGGUGAGGUAACGGCUCACCAAGGCAACGAUACAUAGCCGACCUGAGAGGGUGAUCGGCCACACUGGGACUGAGACACGGCCCAGACUCC
RNAcentral lists this ribosomal RNA (247 nucleotides) under uncultured Streptococcus sp. RNAcentral's name for it is "partial 16S ribosomal RNA". It matches the Rfam family "Bacterial small subunit ribosomal RNA", at positions 97 to 339 of the family's 1533-position model. The record is from RNAcentral. Lineage: Bacteria; Bacillati; Bacillota; Bacilli; Lactobacillales; Streptococcaceae.